This 64-nucleotide transfer RNA is filed under the name Trigonopterus daun. RNAcentral describes it as "tRNA-Gly". Lineage: Eukaryota; Metazoa; Arthropoda; Insecta; Coleoptera; Curculionidae. The record is from RNAcentral.
ACUUAUAUAAUAUAAUUUAUUAUCAUUGAUUUCCAAUCAAUAAAUCUAACUGCUAGUGUAAGUA